Long non-coding RNA from Salvelinus namaycush (lake trout), 2313 nucleotides. RefSeq lists it as uncharacterized. The record is from RefSeq and is a predicted model, not a curated record. Lineage: Eukaryota; Metazoa; Chordata; Actinopteri; Salmoniformes; Salmonidae. The transcript is spliced from 3 exons.
GUCUCCAGCAGGGGGCAGUAAAACCCUAUGGGAAAGGGAAAGUGAGGAGUAAAAAUCAAAGGUGAAUUUACACUGAUGUUUCCACGGAGACCUGAAUCAUAUCCACGAGGCAGCAAACUGAAGAAAAUCAACUGAAACAGGGAGGGACUAACUGAACUAAAAUAAUUCUGUUACUAAAUGUUUUGCUACAGUUUUCUCUAACGAAUACCACCCUGGAUUCAAAUACUAUUUGAAAUCUUACAAAUACUUUGAGCAUUUCCUUUAGUCCUCCAGGUGGGCGGGGUUUGUUUGUACUUUUAGGACGUUUCUAUUGGUUCCAUUACAACAAACUCAAUCAACCACUGCUUAUUAAAUAUUCAACAUUAUUUUAAUGUAGGCGAAUAUAACAUAUUAGAUCUGGUAAAAGAUAAUACAAACAAAAAAAUGUUUUUUCUUCCCAUCUUUGAAAUGCAAGAGAAAGGCCAUAAUGUAAUAUUUCAGGUUUGGCACAAUUUUGACUUUGGCCACUUAAUGGAAGCAGUGUAUUUGCAAAGUUUAUGACUGAUUCAGUGAACCAUUCUGUUAAAAAAUGUUGUAUCGAGACUGCCCAAUUGUGCCCAAUUGGUUUAUUAAUACAUGUUCAAGUAUAUAACUGUGCACUCUCCUCACAAAAUAGCAUGGUAUUCUUUCACUGUAACAGCUACUGUAAAUUGGAGAGUGCAGUUAGAUGAACAAUAAUGUAAGCUUUCUGCCCAUAUUAGAUAUGUCUAUUUCCUGGGAAAUGUUAUUGUUACUUAUACCUCAUGCUAAUCACAUUAGCCUACGUUAGCUCAACCGUCUCGUGGGGGGAUACGGAUCCUGUAGAGAUAAUGCCCUUUAAGUGUAACACCAGAUCCCAAAUGAGGGGAUUUCACUAAUGUAAUCUGUUCACAAUGACAGCUUCUCAAGUGGUUUUAAUACUUCAUUUGUGGAGGUGAAGAUUAUUUCAAAACUCAUUUUGAGCAUUUAUGAAAGAUAACUGAAGAGGAAAAGUUUAUGUUAACCUUUAUUCUAAUUCUAAUAGUGUGUUUAUCAAAACAUCAUGAACAUCCUCUGUUGUCUGUCUAGAAACGGUGCUGUUACAGAUACUGCUUGUGUUUGUCAUCAUGUGACUGCACGGGAAGAUUAGAACAUGUCACCACCCUUUUCUUUAUGUUUAAUGUGAAAACAAGGUUCAUUUCAUUCUAAUUCUGAAGAUGAAUAAAAACAUUUAGGGAUUAAAGUAAAUACAUCGAAGCAAGGUGUUAAGUUGUAAACAGAGUAUUAACUCAAACGAAUGCAGAGAAAAGCUCAAACCAAGUUUAUUCACCCCACUGGAUUCUGCAUCUAUAUACCACAGCUUGUACAAAACCAAACAAUAAUUUAUUUGUCAAGACAAAGGUAGGGGUGUGACUUCUCAGAAAUGUUCAUCUGUUUCCCAGAACUGCCUGUUGGUCUGUUGUUGAGCGGCUGGUAUCACCCUCCCCCCCAUUAUCCCCCACGUUGUUCCACCUCCGCUUCUGGGAGGAACCAGGCGGGGCCACAGAUCAGACUCCUCCAUCUCAUCCCACCAACUCUGUCAGUCCACCAGGUCCCACAAUGCAGCCUCCACACCACUGCAGUAACAGCCACAUCUUCCCAUCACAAAGCUUCAGUACUAUCUCAAUGUGUUGAAGUACCAUCCAGGAUCCUGUGGCAACAUCAAUGUGAAACAGCAUUGACCCCUGAUCACCACCAACCAGGCCUCGACAGCGGUUGCCUUGGACACCCAGUGAAACAGCAUUGACCCCUGAUCACCACCAACCAGGGCUCCACAGCGGUUGCCUUGGACACCCAGUGAAACCAGAGAGAGCACACCAGGCAGCAGGGAGCACUUUGAUGUGAUUGGCUGUUCAGCAGGAAGAUUCAUCUGGCUACACAGAAGGGAUGAUGGCUCUGACCAAUACAUUUUUAGUUAUGAAAAUAUUUUAUUCAAUUCUAUUCUACUGAUAAUUGAAUAAAUGAUGAUUUUAAAAAACAAAACAAGUUUUUUGGAAAUUAUAAUUUUAUUAAUUAAGAUAUUAACAAACAAAUAUGAUUGAUAUACCUGGGGUGACAGGGUAGCCUAGUGGUUAGAGCAUUGGACUAGUAAGUUAUUACAUUAUAAUGACUUAUUACAGUAAUUAUUGGUUAUUACGUUAUGGAUCAAUUAACAAUACACCAAUCUGUUAUAAUACAUGGAAGAAUUUGAUUAGUCAAGGUACAAUACACAAAAACAUUUAUGGAAUGACCAGACUAGUCAAGGUACAAUACACAAAAACAUUUAUGGAAUGACUA